UUGGUGGGACUUUACCAGACGAAAUUGGAAAUUGCUCUGAUUUGCAGAUGUUGAACUUAAGUAACAACACCCUUCAAGGUAAUUUGCCUAAUUCUUUAUCUUCUCUUACUAGACUUCAAGUAUUGGAUGUUUCUAUGAAUCAAUUUGUGGGUGAAAUUCCAACUAGUUUUAAUAAACUUAUUUCACUUAAUAGACUGAUUCUAAGUAAGAACUUUUUCUCUGGGGGAAUUCCUUCCUCACUUAGUCAAUGUUCAAGUCUUCAGCUUCUUGAUCUCAGUAGCAAUGAACUAUCUGGCAAGAUCCCAGUUGAACUGUUUGAUAUUGAUGGUCUUGAUAUUGCUUUGAAUUUGAGUUGGAAUGCGCUUACUGGGGUAAUCCCACCACAGAUUUCUGCUCUAAACAAAUUAUCUAUUCUUGACCUAUCACACAAUAAGCUAGGAGGAGACUUGGUAUCACUGGCUGGUCUUGAAAAUCUUGUUUCUUUAAACAUUUCCUACAACAAUUUCUCUGGCUAUCUUCCGGACAAUAAGCUGUUUAGACAGUUAUCUGCGACAGACUUGGCAGGAAAUCAGGGAUUGUGUUCUAAAGGCCGUGAGUCAUGUUUCUUAAGCAAUGCAACAAUGAUGAGCAUGGCUAAUAAUGGUCACUUGAAAAGAUCACAGAGACUUAAACUAGCCAUUGCAUUGCUCGUCGCCUUGACUAUAGCAUUGGCAAUUUUUGGGGCGAUUAUUUUUUUUAGAGCUCGAAAAUUGAUAGGAGAUGAUUGUGAAUCUGAGUUGGGAGGAGAUUCAUGGCCUUGGCAUUUCAAUCCAUUUCAGAAGCUAAAUUUUUCAGUAGAACAAGUCCUAAAAUGCCUAGUGGAAGACAAUGUAAUAGGAAAAGGAUGUUCAGGAAUUGUGUAUCGUGCAGAACUUGAAAAUGGGGAAGUCAUUGCUGUUAAAAAGCUUUGGCCAGCAACAAUUGCUGCAGGACAUGAUUGUCAAAAUGAUAGGUUAGGAAUUGGAGGAGUUCGCGAUUCCUUUUCAGCUGAGGUAAAAACUCUUGGUUCCAUUCGCCAUAAGAACAUUGUUAGAUUCUUGGGAUGCUGUUGGAAUCGAAACACGAGAUUGCUUAUGUAUGACUAUAUGCCUAAUGGGAGCUUAGGCAGUCUUCUUCAUGAAAGAAGUGGUGGUUGCUUGGAAUGGGAAGUGAGGUACCGGAUAGUCUUGGAAGCAGCACAAGGUCUUGCUUACUUGCAUCAUGACUGUGUUCCUCCAAUUGUUCACAGAGACAUUAAGGCUAACAACAUUCUCAUUGGCCCAGAAUUUGAACCAUAUAUUGCUGAUUUCGGACUUGCCAAGCUUGUCGAUGAUGGUGAUUUUGCUCGCUCUUCAGCUACUGUUGCUGGCUCCUAUGGUUACAUUGCUCCAGGUGAGUUCAAAAUCCAUACCAGCAUUGUCCUGAUGAGGCUAAAAUUUUCAAAUUGCAUAUUGAUAGCAUUGUCCUGAUUUGACUUUAGAAAAUUUUCACAAUGAUGAGACUCAUUUAUUUGGUUUGCAGAGUACGGAUAUAUGAUGAAGAUAACCGAAAAAAGCGAUGUGUAUAGCUAUGGUGUGGUGGUGCUAGAAGUACUAACUGGGAAGCAACCAAUUGAUCCAACAAUACCAGAAGGGCUUCACAUUGUAGAUUGGGUGAGGCAGAAGAGAGGAGGGAUUGCAGUGCUCGAUCCUAGCUUACGAGCUCGGCCCGAAUCAGAGAUUGAAGAGAUGUUGCAGACCAUAGGAGUAGCUUUGCUAUGUGUAAAUCCAAGUCCUGAUGAUAGGCCUAACAUGAAGGAUGUAUCAGCAAUGCUCAAGGAAAUAAGGCAGGAGAUUAGAGAUCACGAGUGCUUGAAAGUGGACAUGCUUAUAAAUGGAUCUUCAGGAAAUACUCAACAGGAGAAUAGCAAUAACUCUCCAUCAUCAGCGCUGAUGCAAGAACAAUCAUAUCCUGAAAGCAACAGUACAAGCCUUUCUGCUUCUUCAUUUUUACAUUCUUCUUCAUCCAUGGCUAAAACUACAUUCAAAUAAAUUUCUUAAAUAUUUUUUUAUCCUUGCAGCAUCAUGUAUCACUAUUAUUUUAGAUAAACUGGAUGUUAGCUAGUCCAGUGUCAGAACUUUCUUGUGUAAAAUAGAAAAGCAGGCAAUUAAAAAUCUUUAUAUAUAAAGAUGGGCAAGUGCGGAGGUAGGACUUUCACCCAACGACAAAGCAAAACCAUACAGAUUGGCCUCAAAGCGGACACAGCUUCCCAAGGAAUUGAAAAAAAUUCUUAUUAAAAAUUACAUUUUAAUCCUUCAAAAUAUAAAGAAAAUUAUAUUUGACUUCUUAAAGAAAUAAAAAAAAAAAAAAAAAACGUAGAAAACUAGGAUGAUGAUGAUCCACUACAAAGUUCUGGGCAAUUACAGACGGAUUUCUGCGAUGACGAUGAUGUAUUGAUGUAUAGAUAUGAAACCAAAAACAUUAAGUUUCUUAGCUGAAAAAAGAAAAGAAAUGGAGUGGUAAUCCUUAAUACAAGGUUGUCUUCAUUUCAUACACAAUGAUGCUUUGUUUGCGUUAGAGGUUGUACUUUUCCUAUGUCUAAUAUUUUGCAAGUUGUAACUGCACUUCACUAAACGACAACAAGUCUAAAUUCGCAUUAUUUCAACGUCGUACGCAAGUGCAAAUCAAAUUAAAUUCUAGCAAUUCUUUCGUCAUAAUUUUUUUUGGCUGCUAUUAUUUUUUGUUCUUCAUUGUUAACAACAAAAUUAGAAGAAAAUAUCAAAACCAAAAUUAAUUAAUUAAUUAAUUAAUUAUGGUGUCAUACAAUCAAGCAAAACACCCAUAAGGGGACCAUGAUUAAUCUAAAAAUUUUCUAAUUUCAUGGAGUACUACUUGUUUUUUCUUUUUCUUUUUAUUUUUUAUAGUGUGGAAAAUGAUUUUAAAAGAGGGUUUUGCGUUUUUUUUUUUUUUUUUUGGAAGGCAAAGAAUUAAUAGAAAGAAUAUUAGAAAUAAAAUUAAAAAGGAUGAGACUCUACUUCUAGAAAUUAUACGUGGAAUAAGCAUACGUUACAAGCAGAUGCACAACACUAUUCGCUUACCUUUUAACCAAAAAAAAAAAAGACAUUUAAUACAUAAGAUUUUGAUGUUUGGUUAAUACAUGAAUGUUACAUUCUUGAAAUAGCUAGGUUCUUAAAACUACAUUUUUCGGUCUAAAAAGAUGGAAAUUUACAUUAUAUAAAUAAAAAAUUAAGAACACUAUUAUUUGUUAAUUUUGAAUAAUAUGUGCAUCAAAUUAAUUUGUCAAUAAAAAAAAUUUAAUUGAAUCAAUUUUACAUCUGUAGAUAAUACUUCUAGAAUAUCAGUAAAAAAAUAUGUAUAAAUUAAAAAUACUAUUAUAAUUUACAUUUUUUAUAAAUUCAUCCAUCUCUUAAUUAUCUUACACUUCAAAAAGAAAAUAUUUAUAACUCAACAUAAUUUUUUUUUUUUUUUAAAAAAAAAACUUUCUCAAGACAUCUCCCAGGAGAGGGAAAGUUAAAUUUUUAUUUAUGGUUCUAACUUAUAAUUACAAAAAGAGAAAAUAUCAUAUAUGUAAAUUUGAUUAAAACCCAUUAUCUAAAUUGCUAAAACAUUUAAACAAUUCAAUUUAAAAUCAUAUUAUACAGAAAACAUUUCAAAUAUUCUUUCCAAUCAACAAAAUUCAAGAUUUCAAAAUAGUAAUAACUAUCAAUAAGGGUUUUGUAUCAUAAAAUUUAUCCACAUUACACAUAAAAUGAAAUAUAUAUAUAUAUAUAUAUAUAUAUAUAGAGUCAUAUACUCUUGCAAAGCAGUAACGUAGUAUCAACAGUUAACUGGCACAAGUACAAAACAUUGUAUAGUAAUACUAGUAUAAUGUAAGGGGCAACCCCAAAACUAAAACUCAAAUUAAUGAUACAAACAUCCAUUUAAUUAUAUAUUUAUUAUUAUUAUUAUUAUUAUUAUUAUUAUUAUUAUUAUUAACUAAUUAACCGUCUCCUUAAUACUCUCUCUUGGCUGUUGUCAUGAUUUUGACUCAGAAAUCAGAGACUGUUGAUUGGAUUGUGCAGAGAAUCUAGGGUUUUCCAUACCAACUUACUCUUAUCACAACAUCUUGACCAUCCACUUGUCCAUCCAUUUUCAUGCAUGAAGGAGAGAGAAAGUGUCUUCUUUUUCUACUACCAUUCACUUUACCGUUUGGGUUUGAUUUGUAUUAGAAGAGGAUCCAUUAACAGUUGCAGGAGUGCUUGCAUGUGAGUUUUUUGGUGAUUUUCUUGCUUUCUUAUUCUCUGGUUUCGCUCCCGGUUGUCUCACCUUCACUCCUCUUAUCAACUGUUAAUAAUCAUAAUUAAUUAAUUAAUUAACUAUUAAUCUAUUUAUAUAUUAAAAUUAUAAAUAAAAAAAUACAUAAAAAAAAAAAUAUAUACAUAUUUGCCACACUUGACAUCCGAGUAUAUGACAAUGAAAUCUCCUUCUUGAAGUCCAUUUGUUCUCACAAAAUCUCCUGAAAUUAAUUAACAAAAUCAAAAGAAGGUUAUUACUAUAGACUCAGAAUUUAAAAGAAAAUAUCUAAAAAUUAAAUAUCCACCGAACCUGUGUUUUCUAGGAGGUACAUCCUGCUUUUGUUGUUGGGCCAGAAUCUGAAACUCCAUGUAGAAAAAUAAAAAUAAAAAUAAGAAAGUGCAGAGAAUUAAUUUUGUAAGAAUGGAAAUGGAAAAAUCAAGAAAAUCAAGAAUCAUUUAGAAUACAAAAAUACCUAUAACGCAUGUUCCAAACCCUAGAAGUCCCUAUGUCUUCCAUUGCAAUAGAAAUCCCAUCUCUUGCCUCCAAUUCUGGUAAAUGAGUUUCUGCUUCUUUCUACAAUAUUUUUUUAGAAAAAUAAAUAAAAAUUCAAAGAAAUAAUCAGCACACACACAAAAAACAAGUACCUUCGGCAACACUAUCCUCCCAAGAUUACCCACAUCACUCUGCUUCAGCACCUUUUGAAGGAGAAACCUCAGGUUCUUCUCUGGUUUCCAACCCUGAAGAAACCAAAAUGAGCAUACAUAUACAAAGACAAAAUUAUCUUUAAUUGUAAUUAUUCACCAUCUUAAUCAUAAAUGCAUAAUUACUGAGAUAAUCUCAGCAAUAAAGGCAAUCUAACAAAUCCAAAGUAGUGAACCCACCUGUCGCCUAUCUGAUGCCACUUGCCGUUGAUGAUUCUGAUGUGAUUGCAUGGCCGGUCGAUCCACUGUAUGAACCGGCGGUGCAUCCAUAGGUAGAACAGGCGUGGUUGAAACAGCAACACCGCCGACAGCUGCAGGCCAGUAAACCCAAUUACCGGGAUUAGGCGGCUGAGCUGCUGGUGUUAUAUUAUCACUUCCAAGCCUUCCAUGGUGAUCUAUUACUGUAUUCUGAUUUUGAUUCUGGUUUUGUUGGUUAUUGUUUUGGUGAUUGUGAUUUCUAUGAUGUGACAUAAACCUUCUUUGUCUAGCCAUUCUCUUCUUUCUUGCUUCUUUGGUAGCUGAGGAACCCAAUCUCACCAACGUAUCACCGACUUGGGUAGGGAGAUACUGACAUGGGUAUUGAUUUCCAUAUCCGCUAAAUACAUUCGGGUGCGUUGGUACCGGCUGGAGAUUAUUAUCUGGAAAUGGUGAGUAAUGAGAAGCUAAAGCAAAUUGUGAUGCGGACCAAGAUUGAGCAGAAUCAAGCAUUUGAUAAUCUGAGGAUGAUGGCGGUUGCGGUGGUUGUGGUGGAGGAUAAGAUUGGCCAGCCAUGUUAGAAGCUCCAUUAACAAACGGGUCAGCCAUGUACCCAACCAUAGGUUGAAAACCCUGCAUGCCUGUGGCUGCCGGGUCGGAAAUAUAAGGUGGAGGUGCAAUCCAAGGUGAUUGAGAGAAACAAGGAUUUGAUUGAUCUGGCUGAAUAGAAUUACUACAAUUCAGAUUAGGGUUAGGGUUUUGCAGAGGGUCUUGAGAUGAUUCUUUCAUCCUCCUUUUUUGAAGAUGAUUAGUUUGAACCCAUUCAAGAAUCAACUUCAACAAUUGUUUCAUAGCUGCUUUACCACCACCCAAACGCUUAGCAGCACACUCUAUAGUAGCUUUCUUGAUUUUGACUUUUCUUAAGUCUUCUGCAGAAACAGUCUCUUUAUUGCUCUUUAACCACUCUAAAAACACCAUUGCUAGAUCAUCUGAAGCUCCUUCCCCUGAUUCUUGUUUUUGAGUCACUUCACUUUUUGUUUCCAUUGCUAACUCUUCAUUUCUCUGUUGCACCUGCAGUUCCUGUUGCAGAUUCUGCUCUGUAUUGAACUCUUCCAAGAAAUUUUCAUCAGCUUGAAAUAUCGAAGAAGGAUCCAAAAAAUCAUUGUUUUCGAUCAGAUCCAUGUAACCGAAAUUAUCCAUCAUGCUCAUGCAACCAACACCAACAUCUUGAUCAGGUGGCUGUAAGAUCUCCAUUGAAGCAGUAGAAGAUAAGGCAGCUGCGGUUGGUUCCAAGGGAUCAUAUUGACCCUGAUGAUUAUGAUAAUGAUGAUGCUGGUUAUGAUCAUGAAUUUUUUUCUCCACAUCUUCUUCUGCGUCUGACUUCAAAACUGCCCAGGAAGCGGCGGAUGACGAAGAAGAAGCUGAAGAAGAAGAUGAUGAUGAAGCCAUGGCCUUGACCGGUGCAGGAGUUGACGAAGAUGAAGAAGAUGAUGACAUGCAAGGGAAAUCUGGUAAAGCAGGGUAAUCAUCAUAAAAGAUCGAAGAAUUAUUCACAUCUAACAGAUCUUCUUGUUCUCUUUCUAACCAGAUUUCUCUUUCUUCCUCCAUAGCAUCAACAGUCGUACCAAAACCAGUUGUAGGGUUUGUUACAUUUUCAUGAUCUUCAACAUGCAAAUGUAAACCCUUCAUUUUUUUGCUUAAUUUUUUUUUUUUUUUUAAGAAAAAGCCCAAAAAUAGUAAUAAAUAAAAAAAAAUUGCAACUUGGAGAAACCUUUUGAGUUCUGUUGUUCGCAGAUAGUUUCAGAAAGAGAGAGAGAGAGAGAGAGAGAGAGAGAAGAUAAUAAAGAGAGAGAAGAAGGGAAGGAUAGGGGAUUCCUGUGUACGGAUAAGUGCAAAGAGAAAGAUUGUAUCCGAUUAAGGAAGCAGAAGAGAGAAAGGGCCCAUUUGUAAAUGUCAAUUACUCAACAAAAACGCAACAUAAACCAUCUGGGCAUCUUCCUUUCUAUCUAAACUCACUUACUGUAUCAUCUAUCAAUAUCACCGCCUCCACCAACAAUGGAUAACAUAAACAAAUACCCUCCUUAUAAUUAUAAUAAUAUAAAUAACAAUUAAGAAAGCGACGCCUCUACUCUUAAUGCUGUUUUUAACAAACACAGACUACGCAUAAUAUUAAAACCCUAAAAUUGUACAGAAAACCAUACUCAGCUAGCCAGCAACAAUGGCGAUCGAGUUCAACCAAUCAAAGAUAGAUCAACUUAAAGAGUGAAAAGGGUAAGCAAGAUGAGCAAAUAUGGAGAAGCCCACAUGCUCAAAUAAACCCCCCAUGUGUGUUCUGGUUUGUUCCAUGGAUGUCUAAUUGCCAUUUUCUAACCUUCCUUUUAACUUUUCUUCAAUAAAGUUCAAAUCAGUAUUUUGGGCGUUUAUGCAGAAUUCAAUUAACUAAGAGAGAUGGGUAGUUUUAGAGAUAGAAAGAGAAGAAAAAACAACAAAAACAAAAGAAAAACUUCCCCGUGCCGCUGGUUUUUCAGUCCUAUUCCGGAUUUUGUGCCAUCCGCCAAACGUUCUCUCCUUAAUGGAGCAACCGAGCGGUGCCUCAGCCUUUUCUUUCUUUUAACUUUAAUGUCUAUGUCAAUGUGAACUUAAAAUACUGCAAUGAUAUUUACAGUUACUUCCAAUUUCAAUUUUGUCCAUUUGCUGCUAUCUAAGCAAAGCAUACAUCCAACCAAAACUUGAUUAAUUAAUUCAAGAAAAUUGAGAUAUAUAUUAGAAUUGAGUCAACUUUGUGGGGAAUUCAGCAAUUUCGCUUUUUUAAGCUAUGGAUAUGUAUCAUCUAUCUAAAGAUUGUAUUAUUAUUGAAACAUUAUCGAUUCUCUGGAUGUUUAUGUUCUUCUGAUAUGUACUGAAACUUGUUAGAGUCACUUUAUAUCAUCCAUAUCAAGUUGAUGAAAAUCUAAACUAAAGCAUUAUAUUUCAUAGUUUGUGAAUCAAUCAAUCAAAAACAUAUAUAUAUCUCGUGUUGUUUAUCCGUUUAUUACAAAAACAAACAAUCUAUUUACUGAUAGUUUGAAAUUGAAAUCAAAUUACAUCCUUUAAUUUAUGAUAAAGCGAUUGAAGGAACUAGUUAAAAAUUUGAAAGGUAUUAACCUAUGUCUUGUUAUGAUCAAAUGAUUAAAGGAAUUGUCUAAAACAUUAGAUGAAAACUAAUAUUGUUUAUGUAUUUUAUUUGCACUUGAGAAUCAGAAUAGAUAUAGAGAUAUACAUGACAUGCAAAAGCGAUACUUGAUUAUCCUUUUCUUUAUUGUUUUUUGUGAUUCUUGAAUGCAAAAAUUUUAAUUUUUAUGUCAGGGUUAAUUAAAGUUUUUAUUUUUAUUUUACAGCAUAAUGCUAAUAUUAUUAAUUUACUAUGAUAACAAGAACAAUGUAUACAAAUAGUUAAAAGUUCAACUAUCCUACAAACUUUUAACUAUUUUUAUAAAUAUGGCAAAUUCUUUUAAUCGAAUUGAUAUCAUAAAAUUUUGAUUUCUUAACAAUUGAGGUUUGUUACUCUGCCGUUUAAUUCAAAUGACGUGAUUAUUAAAUUCAGUAUGUGGGCCUAUUUCAGACACGUCAGUCAGAGAGAGUAGAUGCUUAUAGAGCAUAGCUUUUCAAUUCUCGAAUAUUGUGGCUGACUGUGGUCUAGUUGAUCUAGGAAUGUCUGGGUACCCUUUUACUUGGGCUCAUGGUAGAGGUCAACACCGGGUAGAGAAAAGAUUAGACAGAGCUUUGGGAAACAUCACUUGGCAGAAUCAUUUUCCUAAUUAUCAAGUCCAGAACUUAGUCUCAAGUAAGUCUGAUCACUCUCCUCUUUUUAUUCUCACUUCUCCCAGAAUUGAAAACCAGCGACAUCAACGUUUUCAGUUUGAGAAUAUUUGGCUAGAGGAAUCUGAUGUAGACGCUGUGGUAAGAGAGAGUUGGACUAGUCAUGAGGGUGUUGAUGUAACGGGGAAGAUAAAAGUUUGUGGAGAACGCUUACAGAGCUGUGGUAGGAGCUUAAAGCUUCGGUUUAGGCAUAAUGCAAAGAAGUUGACAGUGCAGCUUGAAAAUCUUCGAAUCAGGGGUAAUAUUGAACAGUUUGAAGAUGUACAGCGUAUGCUUGAUGAUGUUCUGCACCGUGAAGAGGUUUUCUGGUCUCAAAGAGCGAAAUCUCAUUGGUUAAAAUCGGGGGAUAUGAACUCUAGGUAUUUCCAUGCAACUGCUAAGAAACGGAAAAAGUUGAAGCAGAUUUUUCGGUUAAAGGAUGCUAAUGGCGAGUGGAUCAGUGACAACAAUUUGCUGAAAGGUAUGGUGAGUGCUUAUUUUGUUAAUCUAUUUGAGGCCGGGGAUGUUGACUUAAGUCCUGUUGUGGGUUUAUUCUCUCCUUUCGUUUCGGAUAAUGACAACUCUCGUUUACUUGGAGAUAUUUCGGUGGAUGAGGUACAAUUGGCUGCGAAAUAAAUGCAUGCAGAUAAAAAGCCCAGGGAUGGAUGGUCUAAAUCCUAGAUUCUACCACAGGUUUUGGGAUGUUAUGGGUCACGAUGUUGUCAAAAGUUGCCGAGACUGGUUCAAUAUAGGCAUUUUUCCUAAUAAUGUGAAUGAUACCUUAAUUGUGUUGAUUCCGAAAGUAGAGGACCCAGAGGCAGUGACGGAUUUUCGACCUAUUUCACUUUGUAAUGUAGUUUACAAAGUGUUUGCUAAGGUUCUGGCGAACAGACUGAAGACCAUUCUGCCUAAUCUUAUUUCAAUAUCUCAGUCGGCUUUUGUCCCGGGUCGGUUGAUCUCAGAUAAUGUGUUAGUUGCUUUUGAGUUAAUCCACUCUAUGCAAACAAGAAUGAAAGGUCGACAAGGAGUCUCUGCAUUGAAAGUUGAUAUCUCAAAAGCCUAUGACAGAGUUAAUUGGUGUUACCUACGGGCUGUUAUGCAGGGGUUGGGUUUUAGCCAGCGUUGGGUUGACUUGAUCAUGCUGUGUGUUUCCUCUGUUAAAUACUGGGUGGGAGUGAAUGGGGAUGAGGUUGGCCCCAUUAUUCCAGAACGGGGGUUGAGACAAGGUUGUCCAUUAUCACCCUAUUUAUUUAUUCUCUGUGCUGAAGGACUGUCAAAGCUAUUUAGUCAGUCUGAACGUGACGGUCGCCUCAAAGGCUGUAGAGUCUCGAGAGCUGCUCCUCAGUUAUCUCACUUGCUAUUUGCGGAUGAUAGUCUGUUCUUUUUUGAGGCAUCAUGGACUCAAGCUCUAGAGAUUAAAAAUAUUCUAGUUACUUAUGAAGCAGCUUCAGGUCAAACGGUUAAUUGGCAAAAAUCUGGUAUUUUUUUCAGCUCUAACACUUCUAAGCUGGAUAAGACUGCUGUUCAAGGGGUAUUUGGUGUGAUUGCUCCUUUAAACCACGGAAGGUAUCUCGGUUUGCCAUCAUUAAUUGGUAGGGUAAGGAGACGGAUUUUUUCUUUCUUGAAGGAUCGAGUGAGGAAGUUGGUCAGGGGUUGGAAUCAGAAACUCCUCUCCAAAGGGGGUAAAGAGGUUCUAUUAAAGGCUGUAUCACAAGCUAUUCCCUCAUUCUGUAUGAGUUCUUUUCUUAUACCGGUAUCUAUUUUAACGGAGCUUCAGCGGCUCAUGAAUUCCUAUUGGUGGGGAGGAAAGAUGAGAUGGUUGAGUUGGGAAAGGAUGUGUGUAGCGAAGGAAGACGGAGGUUUGGGUUUUAGACAUUUGCGAAGUUUCAAUCUGGCCUUGUUAGGAAAGCACUGCUGGAGGCUUUUACAUAAUACAAACUCUCUCUUUUAUAGCUCUUUCAAAUCUAAAUAUUUCCCUAGUGGGAAUUUUCUUGGUGCAGGCGUUGGACGUAAUCCAAGCUUUGUAUGGAGAGGGAUUUGUGUAGCCAAGGAUGCUAUAUGUUCAGGUUUUCGGUGGAGAAUCGGAGAUGGUCAGUCAGUAAAUGUCUGGACCGAACCGUGGCUAUUACAGGAUAAUCAGUUUCGGGUUCACUUGCCUAUUAUUUCUGGUUUUGAGCAUAUACGGGUUUCUGAUCUUAUUUUGGCACACGAGGCACGUGCUUGGAAUUUGCCACUGAUACAUGGUCUUUUCGAUCCUUCAAUUGCUGAAAUUAUUACUUCUAUUCCUUUAGUUACAAAUGUUCAUGACGACAUCCUUAUAUGGCAUUGGACAGACUCUGGGAUAUACUCUGUGAAAUCUGGAUACAGAUUAGUAGCGUCACAAUAUGUGGAUCCUGAAGAUGUUUGGCGGUCGAGUUUUUGGAAAAUUCUUUGGUCACUGAAAAUUCCGCCAAAAGGGAGGCAUUUUCUCUGGAGGUGCUGUCGAGACAUUCUGCCAGUUAAAGCAAAUUUGGCAAGAAGGGGACUGGAGCUUGAUACAGGAUGCGAUUACUGUGGUAAUACUGAAACGCUAGUUCAUGCUCUUGUUGAAUGUCCACGAGUGAGCUUUUGUUGGCAAUUUUUUGUUAUUCAGCUUACUACUUGGAAUUUUCCAACUUUCUUACAACUGGUGGAACAUUUACACAAGGUGUGGGAAAACAAAUUUUUUGAAAGUUUUGUUAUGGGACUUUGGAGUGUUUGGUCAAGCCGUAAUGAGCUGAAAUGGAAUCAAGUGGAAGAAGGACCUUAUCAUGUGGUUACUCGAGCCAGAAGUAUGCUCGCAUCUUGGAAGAAAGCCCAGCUGAAGUCGUCAGGUUCAAGUACAGGUACAGAUGCUCCUGUAGGUAGUCGAUGGUUUCCACCACCUGUUGGUACUAUUAAACUAAAUUUCGAUGCCACUCUUCUCCCUUCUAUUGGCCAUGGAGUCGUUGGUGCUGUAAUUUCAAAUUGCAACAGCGAGUUUGUAUCAGCAGCAAUGUCCUCACUGCAAGGUUGUUCUUCUCCAGCAGUAGCAGAAGCUCAGGCGCUAAGAACAGUGUUGUCUUGGUUGCUAUCGAGCUACCCCAGCCUGAAGAUUCAGAUUGAGACCGAUUGUCUGCAAGUUUACUGUGCUAUGAGGAAUUCUGUCCAAGAUUGGACUGAGUUUGGAGUAAUUAUUUCUGAAUGUAAGCUAUUAUUAGUCCAAUUGUCAAAUAUCACAUUGGCUUGGAUUAGAAGACAAGCAAAUGAUAUAGCUCAUAUAUUGGCUAAAUCAGUUCCUCAUGGAGCUUGUUUUCGAACUUGGGAUAUUGUUCCCGCUUGUAUUGCUCAUUUUUUCUCUUAAUAAAUAAAUGACCAAUAUUAAAUGUCAAAAAAAAAAAAAAAAGCUUUUCCUUAAUCAUUUUAACAAGUAUGGCUGUGUUUUUUAUGCUGCUUUUAUAUGCUAAUUGCUAUUUUUUUACGGUGUCUUAUAAUAUAAUUUUGAAUUAGUUUUAAAAGUUUUUACGGUGUCCCAUAAUAUAACUUUUCAACUAGCUUUAGAGUUUAAGGUAGUCUUUUGUGAAAAGUUAAUUCAUAUAAUGUUUAGCUUGUAAUAUUUAAUUAAAAGCUACUAAAAUAGCUAACAGCUAAAUGCUAUUAAAACAGUUAACAACGCCCAAAAUAAUUAAUUUUGCCAAACAAAUCCAAGCACAUUCAUGAAUUCUAGAUAGUAGAUGAAUGGAGGCUACAAUUGUUAAUAUAUAAAUAUAUAUAUGAGAUAAAAUUAAAAGAAUUUAUUAAAAUUAUAAAAAUGGUCAAAAUUGAGAUUUUAACCCUUUAUUAUAAAAGUUUUAAUCAAUUUAAUUAUAAUUAGUAUCAACUGAAAAAAUUAUUUGGUUUAUUAAUUUCUAUUAUAUAUAAAAUAUAAAGCAAAGUAUAUAUAAAAGAGAGGAUUUGUAUUCUAAUUAAUCUAUAAUUAGAAAUUUCGUCUAUCUCAAUUCUUUUAAUCUGAUUGGAAUCAAUAAAAAUUUGAGAAAAUAAAUAGUUAUAUGGCCUAAUAAUGCAAUUUGUGACUUGUUACAAUCAUAAUAUAUUUAAUUUUUUGAUAAACAUAUAUUUUAAAAUAAAACUUAUACUAUACGAUUGAAAUUAGGAAAAAAAAAAUGAAUUACAACAUUCAAAAUUCAAGGUAUUUCACAUCUCAAAGUAUUAAUUCCAACCUAUAUUUAAAUAGGGUGUAAUUAUAAUAAUAUUAAGAGCUUUGCUAAAUGUCACAAGUUGUUAACACAAUUAUGCGCAUUUACAAGUACAUCUUUCGUGCAGCAUCAACAAUAUCUAAACUGCUGCUAAAAUAUUUUUAAGGGUAUUACAGUAUUUUCAUUUAUGUUAGAUAUGUCACAAGUUGUGCUAAAAAUACUUUCCGUAAUAUUAAUAGGAUGUAAUUAUAAAAUUUAAAUUUCAAAAUACUUUUACACCUUAAAACAAUUAACCAAUUUUUGAAUCUUUCUUCUAAUUUAUCCUAAAAAAUUUUAACUACUACAAUACUAUAGUUAUCAAAGAGAAACGACAUAUUGAUUUCUAUACACAAUUACCAACAUUACAAGUAUUUUUCCAUCUGUGUUGCUAUAGCGACAAAGUACUAAACUUAGGUAAGUUAGAAAUUUAGAAUAUGUAAUUAAAAGAAACUAUUUACCAUUCAAAACAAAAGGCAACUAUAAACUAAAUAGGGUAAUUCAGUGCCAAAGAGCAUUAAUAGGAUUGAUCAUUAUGGUUCAGGUCAUGGAUUUAAUUCUCUAUAAUACAAACUCCUCCUUAUAGUUUAGGUCAUGGAUUCAAUUCUCCGUAACGCAAACUCUUCCGAAUCAGCUAUUUUGCCUCCAAAAACGAACAAACACAGUUCUAAAUAUCUUGUGCAAAUAUAUAUAUAUAUAUAUAUAUAUAUAUAUAUAUAUAUAUAUAUAUAUAUAAAGGUACUAUGAAUUAUUAUUGCGGCAAUUUUUCGCUUAAUGAGGCUAGACUGAUAAAGUUUAAAUUCUUUUACAAAUUUCAAUAACUUUAUAGUUGUCAAAAGGCGAAAAAUAUAAAUUAAUUAAUUAUUUUAGGGUGUCAACUGUCAAGUAUUAAUCAAAUUUUUACAUUUUAUAGAUGCAAUCUAUUUCAAUUAUAUAGUGCAAUUAGUCUAAAGUUAUUAUUUAUUGAAAAAAUUUUGUGAUAAAUUACAAAUUUUAGGGUAUUGUUAUGUUCUUUUUAGUUAUCCGAUAAAGUGUAAAAUGUAGUAAAAGAUUAAUUUGAAUUGAUAUCAAGUAAUAAGUCUAUAACAAGAGGGAGGGAUACAUAAAAUUUAAAUUCAAUAAAUCUAGUUAGGUAAGAAAAUAUGUUAAAUUAAUAUAUUUGAAUUUAUCUAUAUUCAUGAUAUAUGAAUUUACUUAUAUAUUAAAUUAAUUAAAAAUACAAUUUUAAUUGUAAUUAGAAUAUUUCUGACUUUUAUUGGGAGAAAAAGAAUAUAAUAGAAACACUAUUUUGGAAAAUCCUUUAUAAGGACCGACUCCAUAUAAGUGGAGCACAACGAGACGCGCAUAUAAUUUAAUUUUUAAUUAAAUAAAGCAAAAUUGCGGAAGGGAAGGAUCAGAUACAGGCGGUAGUUCUCUACCACUAACCACAUUCUCACUCUACAUUUAGACAAAAUUGUGGGACCCAAGAGACUGACAACGUUACAAUUUAGGUUUCACAAAUAAGCUUUGUCCGGAUUCGUGGGUUAAGCGGCGGAUGCUCCAUUCUACUCUCUGACGUAACCCUUCUUAAUCUGCCAAUAACCGCGCUCUUCUAUUUCAACUCCCGUCUUUAUCCGCUGCCUUCUUUUAACAUUCACACUGCUCAACAAGCAACGCAUCUGACAGACUGCUUGUCUCCUCCCACGUGUACUCGUCCCUCAUCCUGGCGAGAUUCUAUUGGUAGUUACGGUUUUCUGGAUUCCGUACAUUAUACAACAGGUUUUUGUAGGAUUUUCUUAGAUAGUGCGUCUUCACAUGGCUCUGGCCCUUCACUGACUUUUAUCUGCAAUCAGAUUUUGCCACGUCUGCUAUCCUUAUCUCAAUUCGCGUUCUGAUCGUCAUUAAUUUUCUUUUAAAAGGAAAAAAACCAUAAUAAUUCCUUUUCUAUUUUCUUUUUUUUGACCGUUUGGUGAGGUCGUGGCCACACCAGGCUGGAUACAGCCUAUAGAAAAUAAGCCUGCAAGAUUAAAUGGCAUUUUAUUUUCCUAAAGAUAAGCAAAGAAUUCGAAAUUUUUAAUUAUGUAAUUCAUUUACGAUUUUGAAUUUUCUUUCUAUUUGCACAAUUUGGUGCAUUAUAGAAGGACGUGGCAUUAAUUCCACACACUUGUAUAAAAAAAAUAUUUGAAAAGUAAAUGAUAUAUUAUUAAAAAGUUGUAAUAAAUAUAUUUAUAUUUUUAGAGAUUCAUUGAGCAGAGAGUAUGGCGGAAUGGUUAAAUAGUUGGUAGAAUAGAAAGAGAGAGAGAGAGAGAGGUAAUCGUCAGCUUUGCUGACUCGAAACUAAAGCCCACAUGACGAGUGUGAUUGUGUGCUUUCCUGAUGUCAGGCUCAGUUCUCCACUCCGCCUUAUUAUUGGUCAAAAAGAAAUACUCUCCUUCCACCAUUUAUUUUCAUUUGAUAACUUCAAUACUUUAAUUAAUUAAAUUUUAAAAAAUUGUCCUGCCACCACCAAUAAUGGUGUCUUGACUUUGGACUGGUGACUAAACUAGGGAGGAGACCACACAAUUCCAUGUCUCCUAUAAUAUUGGGCCUGAAAUGGGACGGACCAUACCAUUUGGGCUUGACAGAAUAGCCCAGCUUGAUAUAUACAAAUCUAGCAAGUACACUACUUUCCAUAGCUUCUUUAAGCACAUUUCCUUCUUCUGGAAUCCCCAAAAAAACCACACCAAGCAACCAUCGAAACAAAUCGCAAGAGUAUUUUAACAAUGGAUCAACUGAUCUUCCUCGUUUAUCUCUAACAUCAACAGACCUUAAUUACCGUGAAACUAGCUAUUCACAACUACAUUACUUUCUCCGAAUUUCACGUUUAAAUACGCUGCGUUUUGAGAGAAGAAAGAAGGAAUUUGGAUGGUUGAUAACUUGACAUGAAGAGGAGAGUAAAAAACGGGUGAGCAAACUCUCUGACAAAGCAUUUAAACUCAGCUGCACACUACCCCUUAGACAGCCAAUUGUACAUACAGUACAGCAACCUCUCAUGUGCCAGUAAUAAUAUAAGUUAAUAAGCAAGGAAGCAAGCUGUCAUUCUUAUGUAGCACAUGCCAAACAGUCAAACAUAUUAAGUUGGUUGGACAGCUUAAGGUCGAUGUGAGAGAUCUACCAUUUUUCUUUUUACCUUGCUUUAAAUUAUAUACUACUAUUAUUCAAUUAACAUUGAUUUUGAUAAUCACAAAUUUAUGCCAGUUGCCCUAAUGUUUAGCGAUCUCCCAUUUUUCUAAUUUUACCCUUUUAACAUUUUCAACUUUUAUUUUUGCAGAUUAGACACUCAACUUGAUUAUAUAAUUACAUCUAUUAAAUAAUUUAAUUAGUAAAAUUAGACUAAUUGAACACCUACUUGAGUAAAACAACUCGCUGAACUGAGUUGAAAACUGAACCAAUAUUGUUCAAUUUAUUAAUUAUUGGUCCCCUGCUCGUUAGACACUUGAAAAUUUUAAAUGAUUAUUUCGAAAUUUAUAUUAAUCAUACAUAAAAUUAAUAUUUGCAUGUCAAAACUUAAAACCCAAAAAAAUUAUUAUUAGCGGUGCACAAAAGUGUACAAUAUUACCGAAAUUCAUAAUUUAGAAACACAAUAUGCCUCUUAAAGUUGAAAUUGAUGCAAAGUUAAAAUAAUGAAGUUUAGAAGUAAAUUAUGUGUUAUGCCACAAACUGACACAUAUGUUUAUAAACUUACGGGUAUUUUCAACUUUUUAUAUUAACCUAUUUAUAUCCUUCAACUGAGAAAAUUGCAGCUAUUGAUACCUCCAUUUAUAAAAUUACAUGCAUUUUACAUGUUUUUCAAUUAUCAAAUAUAAGUUCAUAAGUGCAAAACUUCGUGCAUUUUUUAACAGAAAUUAUUGAAUAGUAUUUUCUGCACUUUUUUAAUCUCCAAGAAGUAUAAUUUGAUAAGUGAAAAUAUUCUGUAAGUGUAAUUUUAAAACUUAAUUCAUAUAAUUUUAUAAGCUGAUAGAUUUGCAAGGUAACAUAUAAAUUAGAGUCCACAGUAGAAUUUUUUUUCCAAAGUUGACGUUUCGAUUUAAGCAUUUGGCCUUUUUAUCUUGUUAUAAUUACUUUCGAUAGAGGUCAUGUGUUUAUCAUAAAUUCUCGAGACAAUAUAGAGCUACCUCCAUUCUUGCAGAAGCGAACUACCUUAUGGUUUCAUUCAUUGCAUUUAAUACAAAAACUAUUCCUGCAUCUUUUAUCAUGCCUAUAAAAGGACCCCCUGAUCAAAUUUUCAGACAACUACCACUGGUCUUGCAACAAACAGAGAUGGCAGCAACGGCAAGGCAGUUUUCUUGCGUGCUUUUUCUUGUUCUUGCAAUUGCUCAUGCAAGUGCAAGAAAUACGCCUAAAGAAACUGCAGGUCUCGAUGAUCAAAAGAAUGUGGUUGUAUUUGGCGGUUUAGGUGGCUUCGCUGGUGUUGGUGGUGGUAUUGGAGGUGGUAUUGGUGGUGGUCUCGGUGGUGGUAUUGGAGGUGGGCUGCCUGAUCUCGGUGGCACAGGCGGUGGGAUUGGUGGAUUAGGUGGUUUGGGAGGAGAUACAGGGAGCGGUGGAGGUCUUGGUGGUGCUAUUGGUGGUGGUGGGAUUGGCGGUGGUCAAGGUGGUUGUGCUGAUGGUGGUGCUGGCUCUAUCCUUAACCCUUGAUUCCAUUUCAUGGGAUUUUUUAUGUUUAGUGUUUCUGUUGCAUGCAGAUGCAGUUAGUACAUGUGUUUAGUUACUUUUCUGUUUUAUUCACUGUUGAUUUUUUUUUCCCUUUUCCUUUUUUUAGUAUUGUUCGCUGUUUUAUUGUUUUGGAAUUUUAUUAGUAAUAUUUGCCAUUUCUUUACUAAAAUAAUUAUCAAAUUACUUUCACAGUUUGUUCUUAAUUAAUUGUGGAUCAUAAAUAAUUUCAAUUUUACAACAAUGUCUUAACUAACAUAAUAAACAAUCUUAAUCUCGUAAGAGUGAAAAUAUAAAUUUAAUAUAGAGCAGCAGAAUUCUAAUAAAGACAAAACUCUUAUGCGCUAUGCUCAAAAGAGAGUUUAUUCACGCAAAAAAUGGUGAAACAACGGCUCCUAUAUAGUUUUACAACUAAAAUGAUUUAAUUUGAUAGUCAAUUCUGAUUAAAGGAUACGGGAUCUUUGCCAUUCCAUAUCACUCUUCAGAGGUAAAUGAUAUGGUUCUUGAAUUGUCUAAUUUUAGCAAGUUCAUUGGAACUACUAGUUAAUUAACAGUCAAUUCUGAUUAGAGAAUUUUAGAGACGUAUUAAUAUUAAGAUAUGUUUUCAAACGGUUUAAUUAAUGGAAAUAUAUUGUAUAUGUUUUCAAGUAAUUUUUACUCCAAAGAUUAAAGGAUCCAAAAUUUUAAAAUCAUAACUUUUAGAAAUAUUUAUUUAAAUAUUACUCAUAACCGGAUGUGAAUUGUUCUAUAUAUAUUAUUAAUUUGUUGUUGAGCUAAAAUGCCCAAUAUUUUAUUAGUUGCAAGAAGGACCGGCAACCCUCUAAUACUUCAAGAAUAAAAAUUUCAAAUACAUCAAAAAUGAAAAUAGUGAAAUAAAAAACAUAAUGAUGUGAUUUUAAAAUAAUAUCUAUUGAUAUAAAAAUAAUUGUUUUAACAUUAGAAUGCAUAUAUUAUUAUUGAUAUAUUUCUGAUAAAUGUAAUUUGAAUUUAAUGGAUGAUACGAUCAUUUUUAUAUUAUAGUAAACCGAGGAGAAGAUCCAUCUCCUACCUUUCCUUUCCUUCCAAUAAUAUACAUAUCAGAAAUGAAUCAGAUUCGUACAUUAAUUAUUAAUACAUUGGCUUGGCUUCCAACUACUUGUCAUUGUUCAAUGCCUGUGAAAUUUAAAACUUCUCUGCUGCUUUCAGACUUUCAGUUGGCAUGUCUUCAUCAUUUUCUUUUUUUUUUUUUCAAAAAAAAAAAUUUUAUUAUUAAAUUUUUUUAUAUAUUAAUUAAAAGUUCUUUGAGCAAGAGCCUAAGAUCGAGGUGUCUCUCAAAAUUUGAAAAUUUUCUAAAAUAUAGUACUAAAAAUAACAAAUAACAGGCUUAGCUUAAUGAAAUGUGAUACCUAUAAUAUAUAAAAUAAAAAAAAAACCAAAUAACAUUUUUUUGGGAAAAAAAAAAGGAAAUUCGAAGGAUACAUAUUAAGGGUUAAAUAAAAAGAUUGGUAAUAAUAAAGUAAUUAGGUUAAUAGACUUUCUUGCUGUAGCUUAUUAUGAAAAAAAAUAAUUGAUAUAAUUGAAUUUUUAAUUUUUUUUUUAAUUCAUUGGAGGUUUUUAUAGGCCGAAAUAAUAUUGCAGGUUACAAAAAGGGGUAGCCCUUUCCUUGACUCACCAAAUUGGUGAAAACAACUAUAGUCGAGAGAAUUCGAACUCGAAAUCAAUCAAAUCACCACCUGAUCGGCACAAUUGAACUUUUAAUUGAAAUAUAUAAUUAACUUGAUUUGAUAUUAUAUGAAGUGUUAUUGCAUGAUAUUAUUAAUUUUUAGAAUCUUAAUUAUUGAAUAUUUAAAUUUGUAGUAUGAGAAAUUAUCAUAUUCACAUAUAUAUUUUAUCUUCCAUUUCUUUGUCUGUGUUACUUGUCGCAGCAGGAAGCACCAAUGCAUGGCUCACAAUCUGCCACUAAUUUUCCCUCUGCUAAAUUAUAAAUGCCAUUAAUUCUGGCUGUUGAUCUCCCCGUAACAUGUACUAAAGAAAAAAAAAAAAAAAAAACUCACUUUACAAGAAAAAAAGGAUUAAUCAUGGAUAUACCAUUUACUUGUAUUUAACUCCAUUUACUGCUUUCAACCAUUCCAUACUGCUUCAUUUGCCGCUCCUUUUGCCUUUAAAAAGGGCUUCACAAAAACACUUUGAGAUAUCCCUAGAGAAACAGAGGAGAGAGACAGAGAAAGAUGGCUAGGUGGUGUCUUAGUGUUAUGGUUGUGCUUGCUUUAGUAGCUGUGCAAACUAGUGCUAGAAACGUUCCUAAAGUUGAAAAUAUGGCUACUACCAAAACUAAUGUGCCUAGUAAUAAUGCUGGUCUAAAUGACCAAAAGAACUUCCUCACCUACGGUGGUGUUGGUGGCUACAGUGGUCUUGGUGGUAAUGGUCUUCCAUUCGGCGGGGUUGGAGGACUUGGUGGAGUCACUGGCCUAGGUGGCACUGCCGGCAUUGGUGGGUUUGGUGGAGUUGGUGGUGGAAGUGGUCUUGGUGGCCUUGGUGGCUUGGGUGGUGGUGUUGGUGGUUUGGGUGGCGUUGGCGGUGGCGGUGGCGUUGGCGGCGGUGUUGGCGGUGGCGUUGGCGGAGGCGUUGGCAGUGGAACUGGCGUUCUUCCUUAUCCAUGAAAAUAUUGAUCUCAUUUCUGGUUUAUAGCCAGGGUUUAUGAAGAACUCUAUUUUUAUGCAUGGUUAUUAAGUUGGUUGUGUUUGAGGGUUUAUGUAAUGGUUUAAUUUUAAUUACUUUAUGUUUUGCUUGUUUAUUAGGGUUAGUUGGGUGUGUCUCUUUACUUUGAGUUCGAGAUUUUCAUUGUCAUGUUUAUGUUUGAGUGGAUCAUAGUUACAGAAACUUGAGUUUAAUUAAUGAGUUCAUGUUUAUUAUAUUGUGUUCGUGUUUAAUUUUUUUUGGUUCAGCUAAUUUUCAUUUUAAGAUACAUUUUGAUAUGAUUAAAAACAAC
Molecule: long non-coding RNA, 20891 nt
Filed under: Jatropha curcas
Lineage: Eukaryota; Viridiplantae; Streptophyta; Magnoliopsida; Malpighiales; Euphorbiaceae
Description: long non-coding RNA (JCUR_LNC002689)
Source: RNAcentral